Molecule: ribosomal RNA, 1515 nt
Filed under: Staphylococcus sp.
Lineage: Bacteria; Bacillati; Bacillota; Bacilli; Caryophanales; Staphylococcaceae
Description: bacterial SSU rRNA
Rfam family: Bacterial small subunit ribosomal RNA
Source: RNAcentral
AGAGUUUGAUCAUGGCUCAGGAUGAACGCUGGCGGCGUGCCUAAUACAUGCAAGUCGAGCGAACAGACAAGGAGCUUGCUCCUUUGACGUUAGCGGCGGACGGGUGAGUAACACGUGGGUAACCUACCUAUAAGACUGGGAUAACUUCGGGAAACCGGAGCUAAUACCGGAUAAUAUUUCGAACCGCAUGGUUCGAUAGUGAAAGAUGGUUUUGCUAUCACUUAUAGAUGGACCCGCGCCGUAUUAGCUAGUUGGUAAGGUAACGGCUUACCAAGGCGACGAUACGUAGCCGACCUGAGAGGGUGAUCGGCCACACUGGAACUGAGACACGGUCCAGACUCCUACGGGAGGCAGCAGUAGGGAAUCUUCCGCAAUGGGCGAAAGCCUGACGGAGCAACGCCGCGUGAGUGAUGAAGGUCUUCGGAUCGUAAAACUCUGUUAUUAGGGAAGAACAUACGUGUAAGUAACUAUGCACGUCUUGACGGUACCUAAUCAGAAAGCCACGGCUAACUACGUGCCAGCAGCCGCGGUAAUACGUAGGUGGCAAGCGUUAUCCGGAAUUAUUGGGCGUAAAGCGCGCGUAGGCGGUUUUUUAAGUCUGAUGUGAAAGCCCACGGCUCAACCGUGGAGGGUCAUUGGAAACUGGAAAACUUGAGUGCAGAAGAGGAAAGUGGAAUUCCAUGUGUAGCGGUGAAAUGCGCAGAGAUAUGGAGGAACACCAGUGGCGAAGGCGACUUUCUGGUCUGUAACUGACGCUGAUGUGCGAAAGCGUGGGGAUCAAACAGGAUUAGAUACCCUGGUAGUCCACGCCGUAAACGAUGAGUGCUAAGUGUUAGGGGGUUUCCGCCCCUUAGUGCUGCAGCUAACGCAUUAAGCACUCCGCCUGGGGAGUACGACCGCAAGGUUGAAACUCAAAGGAAUUGACGGGGACCCGCACAAGCGGUGGAGCAUGUGGUUUAAUUCGAAGCAACGCGAAGAACCUUACCAAAUCUUGACAUCCUUUGACAACUCUAGAGAUAGAGCUUUCCCCUUCGGGGGACAAAGUGACAGGUGGUGCAUGGUUGUCGUCAGCUCGUGUCGUGAGAUGUUGGGUUAAGUCCCGCAACGAGCGCAACCCUUAAGCUUAGUUGCCAUCAUUAAGUUGGGCACUCUAAGUUGACUGCCGGUGACAAACCGGAGGAAGGUGGGGAUGACGUCAAAUCAUCAUGCCCCUUAUGAUUUGGGCUACACACGUGCUACAAUGGACAAUACAAAGGGCAGCGAAACCGCGAGGUCAAGCAAAUCCCAUAAAGUUGUUCUCAGUUCGGAUUGUAGUCUGCAACUCGACUACAUGAAGCUGGAAUCGCUAGUAAUCGUAGAUCAGCAUGCUACGGUGAAUACGUUCCCGGGUCUUGUACACACCGCCCGUCACACCACGAGAGUUUGUAACACCCGAAGCCGGUGGAGUAACCAUUUGGAGCUAGCCGUCGAAGGUGGGACAAAUGAUUGGGGUGAAGUCGUAACAAGGUAACCCUA